GAAAGCUAGUUGUAUUAAUUAUGUCUUUAGUUAAAUGCAGCAUCGACUAUGUCGAAUAAAGUUCUAGGAAGAGUUAUGAUAAUGACAUUUUCUACCUAUGUGUCUUGACCAAAUCACGUGCCAGCAGUCGCGGUAAUACGUGGAAGACUAGUGUUAUUCAUCUUUAAUAGGUUUAAAGGGUACUUAGACGGUAAAUUAAGCCCAGAUAAAAAUAAAGGGUACUAAUUAUACUAGAGUUUAAAUGAGAGGGGGGGUGUAGUAGUGGUGUAGAGAUGAAAUUCUGUCAUACCAGGAUGACAGGCAACGGCGCAAGCAACCUUUUAUGUGUAGACUGACGUUAAAGGACGAAGGCUUUGUAUCACCAACAGGAUUAGGUACCCAAGCAGUCUUAGCAGACAAUUCUGAAUGCCAUAGAUAAGAAAAGAUUCUUUUCUCUCUAUCUCUAUUAAUAAAAAGAGAUAGAUGUUAUUUUGUCUAUAAAUGAAAGUGUAAGCAUUCCACCUCAAGAGUAAUGUGGCAACGCAUAAACUGAAAUCAUUAGACCGUUUCUGAAACCAGUAGUGAAGUAUGUUGUUUAAUUUGAUGGUCCGCACAAAACCUCACCACAAUUUGUAUAUUAUUAUCUUAAUACAGGAGUUGCACGGCUGUCUUCAGUUAAUGUCGUGAGAUUUUGGUUAGUUCCAUUAAAUUAACGUAAACCCUUACUUUAUUUAUGUUAUAAAGUAGUUCGCCGCUAUAUUGGAUAUG
Molecule: ribosomal RNA, 747 nt
Filed under: Lobothallia sp.
Lineage: Eukaryota; Fungi; Ascomycota; Lecanoromycetes; Pertusariales; Megasporaceae
Description: SSU rRNA
Rfam family: Bacterial small subunit ribosomal RNA
Source: RNAcentral